RNAcentral lists this ribosomal RNA (897 nucleotides) under uncultured organism. Its description in RNAcentral is "bacterial SSU rRNA". It matches the Rfam family "Bacterial small subunit ribosomal RNA", at positions 216 to 1117 of the family's 1533-position model. The record is from RNAcentral.
CGCUUUUGGAGGGGGGUGCGUCCUAUCAGGUAGUUGGUGUGGUAAUAGCUCACCAAGCCUAUGACGGGUAGCCGGUCUGAGAGGAUGUCCGGCCGCAAUGGAACUGAGACACGGUCCAUACUCCUACGGGAGGCAGCAGUGGGGAAUCUUGCGCAAUGGGCGAAAGCCUGACGCAGCAAUCCCGCGUGAAGGAUGAAGCAUUAUGGUGUGUAAACUUCUUUUCUGGUGGAAGACGAAUGACGGUACACCAGGAAUAAGGGACGGCUAACUACGUGCCAGCAGCCGCGGUAAUACGUAGGUCCCAAGUGUUAUCCGGAAUUACUGGGCGUAAAGAGUCUGUAGCCGGGUUUGUAAGUCUGUUUUCAAAUCCUAUGGCUUAACCAUAGAGAGGGAAUGGAUACUGCAAACCUUGAGAUUAUUGGGGGUUGAUGGAAUUUCCGGUGGAGCGGUGAAAUGCGUUGAUAUCGGAAGGAACGCCAAAAGUGAAAGCAGUCAACUACAAUAAAUCUGACGGUCAGAGACGAAAGCUUGGGGAGCAAACGGGAUUAGAUACCCCGGUAGUCCAAGCCGUAAAUUAUGCAUGCUAGGUGUCUUGUUCACUUUAUGUGAGCGGGGUGCCGUAAUCUAACGAGUUAAGCAUGCCGCCUAGGUAGUAUAUUCGCAAGAAUGAAACUCAAAGGGAUAGGCGGGGGAACACACAAGCAGUGGAUUGUCUCGAUUAAUUGGAUAAUAAGCCAAGAAUCUUACCUAGACUUGACAUAUAUUGUGUCCUACGUGAAAGUGUAGUAAUCCCGAUUUUGUCGGGAUACGAUAUACAGGUGUGCAUGGUCGUCGUCAGCUCGUGCCGCAAGAUGUCCAGUUAAGUCUGGGAACGAGCGCAACCCUCGUUGUUAGUUA